GAUACGACCGUACCGCAAACCGACACUGGUGCGCGAGAUGAGUAUUCUAAGGCGCUUGAGAGAACUCAGGAGAAGGAACUCGGCAAAUUGACACCGUAACUUCGGAAGAAGGUGUGCCCUAUUAGUGUGUAGUGAACAACGAAGCAUGAAUGGGUUGCAAAAAAUCGGUGGCUGCGACUGUUUAUUAAAAACACAGCACUCUGCAAACACGAAAGUGGACGUAUAGGGUGUGACGCCUGCCCGGUGCUGGAAGAUUAAAUGAUGGGGUGCAAGCUCUUGAUUGAAGUCCCAGUAAACGGCGGCCGUAACAAUAACGGUCCUAAGGUAGCGAAAUUCCUUGUCGGGUAAGUUCCGACCUGCACGAAUGGCGUAACGAUGGCCACACUGUCUCCUCCUGAGACUCAGCGAAGUUGAAAUGUUUGUGAUGAUGCAAUCUCCCCGCGGAAAGACGGAAAGACCCCAUGAACCUUUACUGUAGCUUUGUAUUGGACUUUGAACAGAUCUGUGUAGGAUAGGUGGGAGGCUUUGAAGCAGGGUCGCUAGAUCUUGUGGAGCCAACGUUGAAAUACCACCCUGGUGUGUUUGAGGUUCUAACCUAGGUCCAUUAUCUGGAUCGGGGACAGUGCAUGGUAGGCAGUUUGACUGGGGCGGUCUCCUCCCAAAGCGUAACGGAGGAGUUCGAAGGUACGCUAGUUACGGUCGGACAUCGUGACGAUAGUGCAAUGGCAUAAGCGUGCUUAACUGCGAGACUGACAAGUCGAGCAGAUGCGAAAGCAGGACAUAGUGAUCCGGUGGUUCUGUAUGGAAGGGCCAUCGCUCAACGGAUAAAAGGUACUCUGGGGAUAACAGGCUGAUACCGCCCAAGAGUUCAUAUCGACGGCGGUGUUUGGCACCUCGAUGUCGGCUCAUCUCAUCCUGGGGCUGUAGCCGGUCCCAAGGGUAUGGCUGUUCGCCAUUUAAAGAGGUACGUGAGCUGGGUUUAAAACGUCGUGAGACAGUUUGGUCCCUAUCUUCCGUGGGCGCUGCAGAUUUGAGGAAGCCUGCUCCUAGUACGAGAGGACCGGAGUGGACACACCUCUGGUGUAUCGGUUGUCACGCCAGUGGCAUUGCCGAGUAGCUAAGUGUGGAAGAGAUAACCGCUGAAAGCAUCUAAGCGGGAAACUCGUUUCAAGAUGAGAUCUGCCGGGGCCUUGAGCCCCCUAAAGAGUCGUUCAAGACCAGGACGUUGAUAGGUCAGGUGUGGAAGCGU
This 1249-nucleotide ribosomal RNA is filed under the name metagenome. RNAcentral describes it as "bacterial LSU rRNA". It matches the Rfam family "Bacterial large subunit ribosomal RNA", at positions 1635 to 2876 of the family's 2925-position model. The record is from RNAcentral.